AGUGAACGCUGGCGGUAGGCCUAACACAUGCAAGUCGAACGGCAGCACAGUAAGAGCUUGCUCUUACGGGUGGCGAGUGGCGGACGGGUGAGGAAUACAUCGGAAUCUACUUUUUCGUGGGGGAUAACGUAGGGAAACUUACGCUAAUACCGCAUACGACCUACGGUUGAAAGCAGGGGAUCUUCGGACCUUGCGCGAUUGAAUGAGCCGAUGUCGGAUUAGCUAGUUGGCGGGGUAAAGGCCCACCAAGGCGACGAUCCGUAGCUGGUCUGAGAGGAUAAUCAGCCACACUGGAACUGAGACACGGUCCAGACUCCUACGGGAGGCAGCAGUGGGGAAUAUUGGACAAUGGGCGCAAGCCUGAUCCAGCCAUACCGCGUGGGUGAAGAAGGCCUUCGGGUUGUAAAGCCCUUUUGUUGGGAAAGAAAAGCAGCAGGUUAAUACCCCGCUGUUCUGACGGUACCCAAAGAAUAAGCACCGGCUAACUUCGUG
This 492-nucleotide ribosomal RNA is filed under the name uncultured bacterium. RNAcentral describes it as "partial 16S ribosomal RNA". It matches the Rfam family "Bacterial small subunit ribosomal RNA", at positions 29 to 507 of the family's 1533-position model. The record is from RNAcentral.